RNAcentral lists this RNase P RNA (373 nucleotides) under Loigolactobacillus backii. Its description in RNAcentral is "Lactobacillus backi Bacterial RNase P class B". It matches the Rfam family "Bacterial RNase P class B". Rfam says of the family: Ribonuclease P (RNase P) is a ubiquitous endoribonuclease, found in archaea, bacteria and eukarya as well as chloroplasts and mitochondria. Its best characterised activity is the generation of mature 5'-ends of tRNAs by cleaving the 5'-leader elements of precursor-tRNAs. Cellular RNase Ps are ribonucleoproteins. The record is from Rfam by way of RNAcentral. Lineage: Bacteria; Bacillati; Bacillota; Bacilli; Lactobacillales; Lactobacillaceae.
AAUUUCGGGUAAUCGCGGUUAGCUUUUGCUAGCUGAGGAAAGUCCAUGCCCGCACAGACUGCGAUGUCUGUAGUGUUCGUGCUUAGCCCAAUAAGCUAAGGUGCUUUUUUUAAAAGUAAUGGCGGAAUAAGCUGCUAAGGAUUUUAUUAUCUACGCAGUCACGUUCCUGAAAAGUGCCACAGUGACGAUGUCGGUUGGAAACAGCCGAUUUGGAACGGGUAAACCCCGCGAGCGAGUAACCCAAACUUUGGUAGGGGCGUCUCAUGUAAGGAAUUGAACGAUGCAUGAGAGCAGAUUUUUAUCUGCAGAUAGAUGAUUACCCUCGAAACAUUUUUCCUGAAAGUGUUUACGAGACGAAACAUGGCUUAUAGAA